This is a long non-coding RNA of Prionailurus viverrinus (fishing cat), 365 nucleotides long. RefSeq lists it as uncharacterized. Lineage: Eukaryota; Metazoa; Chordata; Mammalia; Carnivora; Felidae. The record is from RefSeq and is a predicted model, not a curated record. The transcript has 3 exons.
UCCAGCUGCUAGCCAGUAUUCUCCCUAAUGUCCACUCUGUUCAGGGGCUAUAUGGUUGGGUGACUUGGGUCCCCGUCCUCCAGCUGGAAGGGUGGUGUGAUAGAUUUUAAACAUCACAAAUUCUUACAGAUGUUCCAUCACAAGGGCUGCCCUAAGAAAGUACCACAAACUGGGCAUCUUAAAACAACAGCAGCUUGUCGUCUCCCAGUUCUGGGGACUAGACCCCAAAAUCAGUGUGUCAGCAGUGCCAUGCCCCCUCUGAAAGCCGUAGGGGAACCCUCCCUUGCCUCUAACUUCUGUUUUCAAGGCUGAGAUUGAAUGGCACCCCUACUCUUUCUGCUCCUGCCUCUAUAAGAAUUAAUUCC